Molecule: long non-coding RNA, 1721 nt
Organism: Heterocephalus glaber (naked mole-rat)
Lineage: Eukaryota; Metazoa; Chordata; Mammalia; Rodentia; Bathyergidae
Source: Ensembl
ACAACACCCGCCUUGUCACCCGCCUUAUAUCCUCAUCCCUCCCCUACGUGGGGCUGCCGGGUGUAGGAGCGGCAGCCAGGGGGCUCACGCAGGACCAGGCAGAGAGCGCCCAGUUCUAGACUGGGACAGGGAAGGUGCGCAGUCUGAUCGGGCUUAGCUGUGCUGGCCCUGUGCCCCACUCCUGUUCAGUGACCGUGGGAGUCCCCGUGUCAGAACGCCAGGUCUGACUGAUGCUGAAGGUGCCAGGUGGCUGCCUGAAAGAUUGGUCCGUUUUGCAGGAAAUUUUCCUGCCCCUUGGGAUGAUCCCGACAACUGUCCUGCUGAUAAAUCUAAUGGUGACGCUUAAUGAGAAGGUUUAUUGGACUUAUGUACCUGAUCCACCUGUUGUACAUCCAACGAGCUGAAAAAAUGGACAAGUAAUGGUAUGGGUGAACAAUACCAGGCUGUUGCAUGAGCCGGCGGCCCCUGACAAGAACAAGUUCCGAUUGUUCAACUAUACGGGAUCAGAAACUGGAACCCCCAUAUGUUUCUUCAAAAUCAACAGAACUGAUUGUAUAAGACUGAGCGCUUGCACCCUGACAGGAAGGCAGGUAGAUCAGUGCAAAGGCGGGAUCACUGGAGUCCAUCUACAUCUACCUGUGGGUAUGGAGACCACUGGUGUAGUGCCUCAGACUUUUAAUGCUCCAAUAAGACUAUUCCAUGGAAGAGAUGUGUGGCGGAUGCCUCCGUGAGAUAUAAUAUUACUGGACUUGAUACUUAUGUUUUGGACUGGUCUGAAAAUUCUUGUCAUCCCAAAAGAAAUGUCAUUGCAUGUGUCAUGUGCUCUUAUGUAUUGCUUGUAAGAAAUAUUAGUGUUCAGAAAAGUUAUGAUUAUUAUAGUGAAAUUUACUUCAAUUGUCAAAUAAGCAAUUGUGUCACCCGAACAGAAAAUCAGAUAAUGGUUUUGCGAAUGCGUUUUUAGAUUUGGAUCUUAUAGAUCUCCAAAAUGCAGAACCCCUAAAAUUUGAUGCAGCCCAGGCUGCACAGGAUUUUAUCGAACAAAUUAGAAAAGUUCUGCCAUCUACAUCUGCAUUUACGUGGUAACUCAUUUCCAUAGUAAUUAUUGGAGGAGGGCUGCCUCUUAGAUGCAUGAUCCUUCCGGUGCUACUGCAGAUGUUUGUGCAUUCUUUAAUGAGGAUGGCUGGAAGUAUUCAUGGUCUAUAAUUACAUGCUACAUCGCCUAAACCCAUGGUGUAAUUCCCUGCAGAGGCUGAUAGUCAAUGACGGUUAAGAGGAGUAUAGGAAAUCACCAACCUAAGACAAAGCAAGAACACUGUGAUGCUCUUGACUCCAUGACAGGUAAGGGAUUUCUUUAUAUUCCUCGCCUAAGACAGGCACAGUCUAUCUGCGUGAUCAAGGGACCUUGAUCAUAAUAUAUAAAACAGGGGGAGAUGUGGAGAGCAGUGUGUGGAGAGCGGUGUUAGCCAAAGAGGCUCCAUUUUGAAUCUUACCCUCCAUUGUAUAGAGCAAGGAGACUAUGUUAUGAGGAACCACGUUCUUGCCAAAUUAGAUUGCCCUGGAACGUGAUGAACGUUCUGUAACCCUGAGAAACAAGGAAGCCCAUGAGGGUGGGGAAUUCCCAAAGAACUAGCAAACAAGGAAGCAGGUGUCUCUGGAUAAGGGUCAUGAUUAACAACCAAACUCACCUGCUGUAUAAAAGAGAGGAGAAAAAUAAACUUGGG